This 460-nucleotide ribosomal RNA is filed under the name uncultured bacterium. Its description in RNAcentral is "partial 16S ribosomal RNA". It matches the Rfam family "Bacterial small subunit ribosomal RNA", at positions 338 to 795 of the family's 1533-position model. The record is from RNAcentral.
CCUACGGGAGGCAGCAGUGAGGAAUAUUGGUCAAUGGACGAGAGUCUGAACCAGCCAAGUAGCGUGAAGGAUGACUGCCCUAUGGGUUGUAAACUUCUUUUAUAUGGGAAUAAAAUGUUCCACGUGUGGGAUUUUGUAUGUACCAUAUGAAUAAGGAUCGGCUAACUCCGUGCCAGCAGCAGCGGUAAUACGGAGGAUCCGAGCGUUAUCCGGAUUUAUUGGGUUUAAAGGGAGCGUAGGUGGAUUGUUAAGUCAGUUGUGAAAGUUUGCGGCUCAACCGUAAAAUUGCAGUUGAAACUGGCAGUCGUGAGUACAGUAGAGGUGGGCGGAAUUCGUGGUGUAGCGGUGAAAUGCUUAGAGAUCACGAAGAACUCCGAUUGCGAAGGCAGCUCACUGGACUGCAACUGACACUGAGGCUCGAAAGUGUGGGUAUCAAACAGGAUUAGAUACCCCUGUAGUC